This 440-nucleotide ribosomal RNA is filed under the name uncultured bacterium. RNAcentral describes it as "partial 16S ribosomal RNA". It matches the Rfam family "Bacterial small subunit ribosomal RNA", at positions 338 to 795 of the family's 1533-position model. The record is from RNAcentral.
CCUACGGGUGGCAGCAGUGGGGAAUAUUGGACAAUGGGGGGAACCCUGAUCCAGCGACGCCGCGUGAGUGAAGAAGUAUUUCGGUAUGUAAAGCUCUAUCAGCAGGGAAGAAAAUGACGGUACCUGACUACGAAGCCCCGGCUACCUACGUGCCAGCAGCCGCGGUAAUACGUAGGGGGCAAGCGUUAUCCGGAUUUACUGGGUGUAAAGGGGGCGUAGACGGUGCAGCAAGUCUGAUGUGAAAGGUCGGGGCCCAACCCCGGGACUGCAUUGGAAACUGUUGACCUGGAGUACAGGAGAGGUAAGCGGAAUUCCUAGUGUAGCGGUGAAAUGCGUAGAUAUUAGGAGGAACACCAGUGGCGAAGGCGGCUUACUGGACUGUAACUGACGUUGAGGCUCGAAAGCGUGGGGAGCAAACAGGAUUAGAUACCCUUGUAGUC